GUAGGUGGCAAGCGUUGUCCGGAAUUAUUGGGCGUAAAGCGCGCGCAGGCGGUUCUUUAAGUCUGAUGUGAAAGCCCGCGGCUCAACCGUGGAGGGUCAUUGGAAACUGGAGAACUUGAGUACAGAAGAGGAAAGCGGAGUUCCACGUGUAGCGGUGAAAUGCGUAGAGAUGUGGAGGAACACCAGUGGCGAAGGCGGCUUUCUGGUCUGUAACUGACGCUGAGGCGCGAAAGCGUGGGGAGCAAACAGGAUUAGAUACCCUGGUAGUCCACGCCGUAAACGAUGAGUGCUAAGUGUUAGGGGGUUUCCGCCCCCCUUAGUGCUGCAGCUAACGCAUUAAGCACUCCGCCUGGGAGUACGGCCGCAAGGCUG
This 372-nucleotide ribosomal RNA is filed under the name uncultured organism. Its description in RNAcentral is "partial 16S ribosomal RNA". It matches the Rfam family "Bacterial small subunit ribosomal RNA", at positions 527 to 896 of the family's 1533-position model. The record is from RNAcentral.